GGGUAUCCACAAAAUUACUACAUUUGUACUACAAUUAAACUACAAUCUUAUGUCAAAAAAAAUAUUGAGAACAAAAUUUGCUCUUCAUCUACAAAAUUUCUUCAAAAAAAACUACAAAUAAAUUACAAUUGCACCCACAAUGUCAACUUUAUUGUCUUCCAUCACGACGUACUAGUAGAGGGCCUUGUGUCAUGUUCCUUUAAAUGAACCAUUGACAAACUUUUUUGGCAUCUGUCUCAAGGAUUAAUAUUGUCUCUAACCUUUUUCUUUCUUCUGUACCCGAAUAUAUAGAUGAAACCAUACUUGCAGCCAACACUUAUCCAAUUUUGACUCCUUUUAUGUUUGAAAAAACUCACAGCAGCCAUGCUUGCAACACUUCCCCAUUCAUCGGCUUCCAAGAUUUUCAAAAUCAGGUGUCACUUGUUUCAUCUAGGUAUAAAGUUUGACCAGAAAAACUUUAUGAAUCCUUUUGAUUAUGCUUCGUAGGCACAACCAUAAGGAUUUUAUCAAUAACGAAGUUGAUAGAAAUUUUCCACAAGAAAAAUACUACUUCCAUAUAUAAUUAAUGCAAGAGACAAGAAAAAUG
This 586-nucleotide long non-coding RNA is filed under the name Nicotiana benthamiana. RNAcentral describes it as "long non-coding RNA (NBEN_LNC015259)". The record is from RNAcentral. Lineage: Eukaryota; Viridiplantae; Streptophyta; Magnoliopsida; Solanales; Solanaceae.